RNAcentral lists this long non-coding RNA (251 nucleotides) under Gallus gallus (chicken). RNAcentral describes it as "long non-coding RNA NONGGAT000948". The record is from RNAcentral. Lineage: Eukaryota; Metazoa; Chordata; Aves; Galliformes; Phasianidae.
UCCAACAGCCUCCCACUCUGCAUGGACCAGAUGAAUAUUUCAAAGGAAUCCUGGGAACCAGCUGACACAAUCUCACCACUGGAGUCCACAGCCAAACAAGAGAACUGACUUGGUCGCGGAGAAGUAAAGUUACUAUGUAUUGCCCAUCUGGAGAAUAAGCCAACGAAACCAUGCUGUUGAAAUGGCCCUGCUGCUUCAGCACGUAGGACUCGCUCUGCCAUUCCCACACCAGGAGCUGACCCAAACCUGUG